CCGGGACCCCCACCGCCGAGAUGAGCUUUAGCCGUCUGUAUCGCCUGCUGAAGCCAGCGCUACUUUGCGGGGCUCUGGCUGCGCCGGGCCUGGCUAGCACCAUGUGCGUGUCCCGCGACGACUGGCGCUGUGCUCGCUCCAUGCACGAAUUCUCAGCCAAGGACAUCGACGGGCGCAUGGUUAACCUGGACAAGUACCGGGGCCACGUGUGCAUCGUCACCAAUGUGGCCUCGCAAUGAGGCAAGACUGAAGUAAACUACACUCAGCUGGUCGACCUGCACGCCCGAUACGCCGAGUGUGGUUUACGGAUCCUGGCCUUCCCUUGCAACCAGUUUGGGAGGCAGGAGCCAGGGAGUAAUGCGCAGAUCAAAGAGUUCGCCGCUGGCUAUAACGUCAAAUUCGAUAUGUUCAGCAAGAUCUGUGUAAAUGGGGACGAUGCCCACCCUCUGUGGAAAUGGAUGCAAGUCCAGCCCAAGGGGAGGGGCAUGCUGGGAAACGCCAUCAAAUGGAACGUCACCAAGUUCCUCAUUGACAAGAAUGGCUGUGUGGUGAAGCGGUAUGGUCCCAUGGAAGAGCCCCUGGUGAUAGAGAAGGACCUGCCAUGCUACCUCUAGCUCCACAAGGUGCUGCCCCUACCCAAACCUGCUGCCUGUGUUCCGAGGAGCCUUCCCCCGGUGCCUAUGACGGUCUGUCUGAAAACCAGCCCCUGGUGGGGCAGACCCGAAAACCUGGCGUGCACUCCUGCCGGAGGAAGGUCCCUUGGCCUGGCUGUGGCUUGGCAACCCCACCCCUGGCUGCCUUGUGGGAAUAAAAUGUACAACACAACACAAAAAAAAAAAACAAAAACAAGAAA
Odocoileus virginianus texanus is the source of this 853-nucleotide non-coding RNA. The record is from RefSeq and is a predicted model, not a curated record. NCBI's taxonomy places the organism in Eukaryota, Metazoa, Chordata, Mammalia, Artiodactyla, Cervidae.